This 107-nucleotide transfer RNA is filed under the name Nitrososphaerota archaeon. RNAcentral's name for it is "tRNA-Lys". It matches the Rfam family "tRNA". From Rfam's summary of the family: Transfer RNA (tRNA) molecules are approximately 80 nucleotides in length. Their secondary structure includes four short double-helical elements and three loops (D, anti-codon, and T loops). Lineage: Archaea; Thermoproteati; Nitrososphaerota. RNAcentral also lists the same sequence under 1 other name. The record is from RNAcentral.
GGGCCCGUAGCUCAGCCAGGAAGAGUAUAUUGGGGUGAUACCCCAAUAUAUUCAACGACGGGCUUUUAACCCGGAGGUCCCGGGUUCGAAUCCCGGCGGGCCCGCCA